Molecule: ribosomal RNA, 461 nt
Filed under: uncultured bacterium
Lineage: Bacteria
Description: bacterial SSU rRNA
Rfam family: Bacterial small subunit ribosomal RNA
Source: RNAcentral
CCUANGGGGAGCAGCAGUAAGGAAUAUUGGUCAAUGGGCGCAAGCCUGAACCAGCCAUGCCGCGUGAAGGAUGACGGCCCUAUGGGUUGUAAACUUCUUUUGUACGGGAAAAAACCCCCGGUCGUGUACCGGGGCUGAUGGUACCGUAAGAAUAAGCAUCGGCUAACUCCGUGCCAGCAGCCGCGGUAAUACGGAGGAUGCAAGCGUUAUCCGGAUUCAUUGGGUUUAAAGGGUGCGCAGGCGGAAUGAUAAGUCAGUGGUGAAAUCCUACGGCUCAACUGUAGAACUGCCAUUGAUACUGUCGUUCUUGAGUACACUUGAAGUGGGCGGAAUGUGUCAUGUAGCGGUGAAAUGCUUAGAUAUGACACAGAACACCGAUCGCGAAGGCAGCUCACUAAAUUGUAACUGACGCUCAUGCACGAAAGCGUGGGGAUCAAACAGGAUUAGAUACCCCANUANUC